Sorex fumeus (smoky shrew) is the source of this 3186-nucleotide long non-coding RNA. RefSeq lists it as uncharacterized. The transcript is spliced from 3 exons. The record is from RefSeq and is a predicted model, not a curated record. NCBI's taxonomy places the organism in Eukaryota, Metazoa, Chordata, Mammalia, Eulipotyphla, Soricidae.
GGUGGUGCCUGAGAAGCAGAAUGUUCCCUCCACCUCCGAAGCUGAAAAUUAAUGAACUUCCACAUCAUGAAUGCUUGGAUAGUAGCUGAAGCUGUGUGGAUACAGAAUUCAUCUACAGAGACGACAACAUUUGUUCAAAAACAACUCCAGCCAGAAAAAUCCAUGAAGAGGAGGCACACACACAAGAGGCAGAAGGCAGGCCAGAGUUAUGAUUGGAUAGUUAACAAUGCAAAAAGGGAGCUGGAAAACCAAGAUACAAGAGGAACUGAAGCAGGGAAAGCAUUGGUAAGUCAAGUCUGCAAGACUAAAGGCAAAAUAACGAGGCGGCUAACAUACUGGAUGAAAGCAAAGGGACUCAAAGUACCAUAAAGGCUUCUAAGUGGACAGCUGGUAGAUGGGCAGCAGAAUAAGGGAAGGGAGCCACAGUAGCCUGUGGCUGAGCUCUGCUAUAUAGGAUUUCAGGAUCUGUAAAGGCAUGCUCAAUUCAGCAUAUGGCCAUUCAAAUGGAUCCUUUACCUGGGCUAGUUGUAGAAAGAUCACUUGAAAAGAAAAGCUUAGUACUUCCUGAUUACAAUUUAUUCAUCAUUAGAGCAGAAUGAAGACAAAAAUUUCCAGGGUAACAUUGCUUUUGUGUCAUUAUUAUAAAGCUGGUCAAUUACUAAGUUUCCCUUUUAAUACCUAGUUCACAAUUCACAUAUGUGAAUUGUGAACAUACACGCGUCACAUCUCCCAGUUCCAGUUUGAAAGAAGCGGUUGCCACUACUCCAUUUAAGAAGUAGUUUAUGUGUCCUUUACCAACAGUAGGGAUAAUACUCAGAGAUAAAUUUAGUAUCAAGUUCCAAAAGCAACAAAACUUAUUAUUUUAUGCAAACUUCUAGGUAAAAUUACAACCCAGUCUUAAGAUAGAUCGGUAGCACUGCACUGUAGCAUUGUCCUCCCGUUGUUCAUCGAUUUGCUCGAGUAGGCCCAGUAACAUUGUGAGACUUGUUACUGUGUUUGGCAUAUCGAAUACGUCACAGGUAGCUUGCCAGGCUUUCCCGUGAGGGCGAGAUACUCUCGGUAUCUUGCCCAGCUCUCCGAGAGGGCAGAGGAAUAGAUCUCGGGUCAGCUGUGUUGGCCGCACGCAAGGCAAACGCCCUACCCGCUGUGCUAUCGCUCCAGCCCCAUUUAGCAUUGCUUUAGUUAAUAUUAUAAUUAGUAAUAGAAUUUAUUUGGAAUGAGAUAUGCUGUAGAAAUAGACAAUGUACUCAAAAGUAAAAACAACUAAGUUUAUGACAGUUUUGGACAUUUAUGACACUACUCUGCUUUUACAAAAAAAAAAUCCUCAGAAAUAUCUUAAAACACAAACUAAUGAUCUAAUUCUGUACUGGUCAUGAAUAUCACAAUACUUCUCUUUAACUAAAUGGUCAUCAAUUGGGUCUUCACAGUUUUUCUUAUUUUACAGAGAUUUUUAAGUCCUUUGCAUUUGUUAGAGGAAGGUAUGACUACCACACUGACAGAAGCCUACCCCACUAGCUUAUAUAAAGCUCUUAAAAAAAAAGUUAUGAGAGAGAGAGAGAGAGAGUGAGAGAGAGAGUGUGAGUGUGUGUGUGUGUGUGUGUGUGUGUGUGUGGGGGAGGGGCAGGGAGUAUUAGUAUUAUGCAUACUCAUCACUACAAUGGAUUAGAAUUAAGAAACAAGCAGCAAUGAAACUCUCAGGUCUAUGGACAGCUCAUGAAAUGACAAAGGACAUGAAAUGGAGUCAAGAUAGGGUUCUCACAAAUAGUGCCGGGAAAUUGGCUAACCACAUGCAAAAGAGAGGGGGCAGAGGUCGGCAGGCAGGACAGUGGGCAUGGAACUUGCCUUACAUGUGUCUGACCCCUGGCACCCCACAAUAAACAAGUGGGACUACAUCAAAUUCAAAAGUUUUUGUAUGGCAAAAGCAACUCAGGCUGAAAUUAAAAGGCAUCCUACUGAAAUGGAGACAAUAUCUGCACACGAUGUAUCAGCUGAGAUGCUAAUAUUCAAGAUACAAAAAGCACUCACAAAAGUCAACUAUUAAAAAAAAAAUCCAAAAACCCCAUCAAAACCGAGGAGAGGAAAUGAAAAGACACUCCACUGAAGACACAGAGAUGGCCAGUACACAUAUGAAAAAGUGCUCAUCAUACUUAUCAAGGAAAUCCAAACCAAUACAACAAUGAAAUACGAUCUUAUGCUAGUGAAAAUGGCAAAUAUCAAAAAAACUAGAAGCAUUCUGUGUUUGUGAGGAUAUGGUCAAAAAGGAAUUCUUAUUCAUGGUUGGUGUGAAAGCAGUCUGGUUUAGCUCCUAUGACACAGUAUGGAGAUUUCUCAAAAAAGAACAGAGUUUCCAUUCAACUGAGCGGUUCAACUUCAUGGUAUCUACCCUUACGAACAUUCACUUGAAAAAGACAUAUGCAAACCUUCAUUAAUUGUAGCAUUUAGAACAAUCGCUAGGAUAUAAAAUCAACUCAAAUGUCCAAUGAUAAAUGAGUAGAUAAUGAAGGUGAGAUGAACACCCAACGGAAUACUAUGUAGUCACAAGAAAUGAUAUAAUCCACUGAACUUGGAUGGAACUGGAGGAUCUCAUGCUAAGUGAAGUUAGAGGAAGGGCAAAUACUGGAUGUUUUCACUCAUAUGAAUGUCAGGUUGCAAAGGUGAACAAACCCUCUGACUUAGAAUGGGGAAUGGCAGUAUGAGUAAGAAGAGUGGUCUGCAAAAGGCCUUGGACACAUCUAUCGGUGGGGGAGGAGAGGUAUAUCCAUCUAAACAAGAGCAAACACAACUGUAAGCAUGGGACACAAAUUUUAACAGUUCAAAUGCGCCUGUUGAAAAGAAGAUGGAGGGGAAGGAAAUAACCCGAGGACAGUGGUGUGUAAUGCUGACGCUGGUGGUGAGUUGGAGAUGGCACACUAUGUCUGAAACUCUACUGUGGACAGCUCGGUAAAUCACAGUACCUAAAUAAAAAACAAAUUUUAAAGACGAGUCAUGAUUGAAAAUAAAACAAACCUCCAGAACUGUUCUAUGACAAUUGUAAAUGUUCCCCAAAUCUGCACGGUAGAAACAAUUCAAAAGCUGGAAGCCCCUAAUUCUUCAAUCCUCUUCUACUCCUCUCCUUUAGAAAGUUUCCAAAGCGCUGUACAAUUUUAGACUGCUCAAAUUAUUCAAGCAUGAAACCAUUAACGAGAG